GUGGGGAAUUUUGGACAAUGGGGGCAACCCUGAUCCAGCAAUGCCGCGUGCAGGAAGAAGGCCUUCGGGUUGUAAACUGCUUUUGUACGGAACGAAACGGUCCUGAUUAAUACCUGGGGCUAAUGACGGUACCGUAAGAAUAAGCACCGGCUAACUACGUGCCAGCAGCCGCGGUAAUACGUAGGGUGCAAGCGUUAAUCGGAAUUACUGGGCGUAAAGCGUGCGCAGGCGGGUUUGUAAGACAGGCGUGAAAUCCCCGGGCUCAACCUGGGAAUGGCGCUUGGGACUGCAAGGCUGGAGUGCGGCAGAGGGGGAUGGAAUUCCGCGUGUAGCAGUGAAAUGCGUAGAUAUGCGGAGGAACACCGAUGGCGAAGGCAAUCCCCUGGGCCUGCACUGACGCUCAUGCACGAAAGCGUGGGGAGCAAACAGGAUUAGAAACCCUUGUAGUCC
This 450-nucleotide ribosomal RNA is filed under the name uncultured bacterium. Its description in RNAcentral is "partial 16S ribosomal RNA". It matches the Rfam family "Bacterial small subunit ribosomal RNA", at positions 354 to 796 of the family's 1533-position model. The record is from RNAcentral.